GGUAACGUGGCCGAGCGGUCUAAGGCGCUGGUUUAAGGCACCAGUCUCUGGAGGCGUGGGUUCGAAUCCCACCGCUGCCA
RNAcentral lists this transfer RNA (80 nucleotides) under Penaeus chinensis. Its description in RNAcentral is "tRNA-Leu". It matches the Rfam family "tRNA". Rfam says of the family: Transfer RNA (tRNA) molecules are approximately 80 nucleotides in length. Their secondary structure includes four short double-helical elements and three loops (D, anti-codon, and T loops). Lineage: Eukaryota; Metazoa; Arthropoda; Malacostraca; Decapoda; Penaeidae. The record is from RNAcentral.